Molecule: ribosomal RNA, 402 nt
Filed under: Fusobacteriota bacterium
Lineage: Bacteria; Fusobacteriati; Fusobacteriota
Description: Fusobacteria bacterium partial 16S ribosomal RNA
Rfam family: Bacterial small subunit ribosomal RNA
Source: RNAcentral
UGGGGAAUAUUGACAAUGGGGGAAACCCUGAUGCAGCGACGCCGCGUGAGCGAAGAAGGUUUUCGAAUCGUAAAGCUCUGUCCUAUGGGAAGAUAAUGACGGUACCAUAGGAGGAAGCCCCGGCUAACUACGUGCCAGCAGCCGCGGUAAUACGUAGGGGGCAAGCGUUGUCCGGAAUCACUGGGCGUAAAGGGUUCGCAGGCGGAAAUGCAAGUCAGUUGUGAAAGGCAGAGGCUCAACCUCUGUAAGCAAUUGAAACUGUAUUUCUUGAGAUGUGGAGAGGCAAGUGGAAUUCCUAGUGUAGCGGUGAAAUGCGUAGAUAUUAGGAAGAAUACCGGUGGCGAAGGCGACUUGCUGGACACAAACUGACGCUGAGGAACGAAAGCGUGGGUAGCAAACAGG